GACGAACGCUGGCGGCGUGCCUAAUACAUGCAAGUCGAACGCAGUGGGGACGGGUGAGUAACACGUGGGUAACCUCCCCUCAGAGGGGAUAACACUUGGAAACAGGUGCUAAACCGAUACUGAUGGAUGGACCCGCGGUGCAUUAGCUAGUUGGUGAGGUCACGGCUCACCAAGGCAACGAUGCCUAGCCGACCUGGGAGGGGUUUCGUCCACCCUGGGACUGAGACACGGCCCAGACUCCUACGGGAGGCAGCAGUAGGGAAUCUUCGUCAAUGUACGAAAGUCUGACCGAGCAACGCCCCGGGAGGGAAGAAGGUUUUCGGAUCGUAAGACUCUGUUGUUAGAGAAGCGGUAUCUAACCAGAAAGCCACGGCUAACUACGUGCCAGCAGCCGCGGUAAUUC
RNAcentral lists this ribosomal RNA (403 nucleotides) under uncultured bacterium. RNAcentral's name for it is "partial 16S ribosomal RNA". It matches the Rfam family "Bacterial small subunit ribosomal RNA", at positions 28 to 526 of the family's 1533-position model. The record is from RNAcentral.